UUCUGUAUGUAUUUGUAUGGUUUUUUUACAAGUAUAGAGUGAAAUACACACGGUGAGUAAUGAACGCAGACCUUCAGUGCCGGACCUCUGACCCGCUAACCUCCAUCCCGACAGCCAGCGCCUUCUCCGGAUGCCAUUGCGGUAUCGCUUCUCGGCUUUUUGUGUAAGAUCGAGUGGACACCGGGGACUACACGUUUAAAUGGAUUUUUGACCUUCGGCUAUGGAAGCGAGGCUUGCUACGUCCACUCCGUGCAUCGACUCUGGCGUUUUCCGGGGACAAAUAAGUGAAUAUCUGACAAUUCUUAAAUGGAGAUACAUUUACUUGUUCCUGCAUCAAGGAAAAAAUGCGCAUCCUGGUAAAUUUUAGAAGUUAGACGACUGAGCUGCAGCGGACAGCCUCGUGGAGGCGUGGAGCAGCAUACACAGUUAAGUUUGUGGUGGUGAUCCGAGGACGAAUUAAACAUCCUCGACACAGCUGAAGGUGCAACAAAAGCGAAAGAGGCCGAUUGGAAUGUUAAAAACACCUGAAAACUUUUUUUCACUACCCUUCAUACUACAGCUGUCGAAAAACCACAGCAACGUCGACAGACCUGGAGGCAUAGCUGUACUUGUUUAACUCACAACGACAACGGCUGUCGAAAAACCACAGCAACGUCGACAGACCUGGAAGCGUAGCUGUAUUUGUUUAACUCACAAAGACAACGGGUCAAUUAUGAGUGGAGAACCGUUCACCAAAUGAAGACCGCAGCCAGGUGACGGGAUUCUGUGGUAAUCGCAAAC
This is a long non-coding RNA of Paramisgurnus dabryanus, 780 nucleotides long. RefSeq lists it as uncharacterized. NCBI's taxonomy places the organism in Eukaryota, Metazoa, Chordata, Actinopteri, Cypriniformes, Cobitidae. The record is from RefSeq and is a predicted model, not a curated record.